AUCCAACACUGGCACCGCGCGCUCCUUCCAGGGUCGGAGGCCCACAGACCCCUCACGUUCGCUUCUGUCAGGAGUAGCGGCAGAAUUUCGAUAAUUUAUGUCUUUGAUGGAGACUGGGAAGGUAGCCUGGCCGCUGCGCAGGAGAGCUGCGCGGGGUCCAGGAGGGGAGCGCGGAGUGGGAGCAGUCGACUCGGGCUGCGCAGUGCGUGUCGGCUGUCACGGGACACCGGUGAGGACCCUGCACCCAGAGUCGGGGGUCCAGGCUGUUGCUGGAACAGGAGGCAGCUCGGUGUCCACGGUUCCGCAGGGGGCCGCUGUCUGCUUGGAUCUUUCAUCAGGUCCCAGGCAGAGGGUGCGCUCUCUACUCAGCUUCACUCCUUGGGACAGAAGUGUGGCUGCUGAUCCUGGAGUAGGGAAGGAGAAGGAAGCAUUUGCAUGAUUAAAAUAUUUUUUUUUAUCUUGGUAAAAUACACAUAACAUGAAAUGUACCAUGUUAACCAUUUUUAAGUACUAUUUUAAUGUACUAUUCAGUGACAUUAAGUUCAUCGAACAUUGGUGUGCAAUCGUCACCACCAUCCAUUUACAGAAGUCUUUUCAUCUUGAAAGUCUGAAACUUUGUAUCUAUUGAACAACAAUUCCACAUUUCCCCCUUCCCCCAGGCCCUGGCAACCACCAUUCUACUUUGUCUCUAGGAAUUGGACUACUCUAGGUAUCUCAUAUAAGUCUAAUGAAACAGCAUCUGUCCUUUGUGACUGGCUUAUUUCAGGUAGCAUAAUGACCUCAAGGUUCAUCCAUGUAGUAGCAAGUGUCAGAAUGACCCUCCUUUUUAAGGCUGAAUAAUAUUCCAUUGCAUGUCUAUACCACAAUUUGCUUAUCUGUUCAUCCAUCGAUGGACACUGGGUUUGGUUCUACCUCUUAGCUGUUGUGAACAAUGCUACCAUGAACACGGGCGUACAAAUAUCUGUUUGAAAUCCUGCUUUCAGUUCUUUUGUAUAUAUGCCUAGAAAUGGAGUUGAGUUGCUGGAUCAGAUGGUAAUCCUGUGUUGAAUAUUUUGAGGAACGCCAUACUGUUUUCCAUAGUGACAGUUGCAUGAUUUUUAAAAAGUGGCUUACUUUCAACACAUUUUUUAAGGUAAUAUUUUGGACCAAAUGGUUAAUAAGACUGUGGUGACGAGGUGCAAGACUCUGGGAAGAUGGCCAAAAGGCACUGUUCUUUUUCAUUCUUGUUUUCUGUCCCCAGCCCAUGCCCCUGCUGGCAGCCCUGGGCUUGCCAUCCAUCUGGAAGCUAGGAAGGGCUGAGUCACCCAGCAUUCUGGGGCUGGGUGCACCCUUUCUAUAGUGUCUUAGGAGGAUGCAGAAGUAAUGGCUACAGAGCAGCUGCUGAAGGAGGAGGAGGGCUCACGAACUGCUAGAAUUUUAAAGGGCUGCAGCCCCUGAAGUCCUGGGCCCUGUUUUACAGAUAAGGGAACAAAGACUGCUGCAAGGAGAAGCAUGUGGAAGAAGACAGCUCUGAGGAUGCAGAGCCCCAAAGGACGUGCUUGCCAUUCCUGGAGAGGAAUGGCAUCAGGGACCCAGGCCACAUGCAGUGCGGCCAGGGACAGAGCACCACCUGUGCGUGUGGACAUUUCACAUUUUUCCUCCAUGGAAAAAUGUAGGAAACCCUACAGCUUGGGUUUCCUCUGUUACUGAGGCUUCCUCUGUUACUGAGGCUAACUGGGACAUUUGUCUAUUUAGCAUUUAUCUACUAUGUGUUGAAAGAGAGGCGGGUGGGGGAGAAGAUUAGGAAGCCUUUAAACAAAGCUCCAAGUAGAGCUGUCUCGACAUGAUUCAAAACUGCAUCCUUAGAUGCUUGGUGGUAUAAAGGUCUUGCCAAUUCCCAUUACAACACAUAUUGCAACAUGCCUUUCUUCUCGUAAAUGUCUUCUGAAGGUCACUCCAGCCCCUGCCAGUCCCUCUCCCCUUGACUUUCUGCCAGUGCCCAACUGUGAACCCGUAGAGCCAUCUGCUCUCCCCUCCUGCUUACCUGCAACUGAUGGCUGGCCAAGAAGAUAGGAGAGUUAUGCGAUUGGUCAAGGACUGGUGUGAGGUCUCCUGCUGUGCUGCACAUGGGGCUCGGAAUCUGAAGGUGUGACCUUCCCAUUCUUCUGUGACAAACCUGGUGCUGCCCAGCAGAGUGGAAAGAGCAUGUUUUUUUUUGUGAUGAACCUGCCUAACUCCUCACUGCCUAGCAGACAGCAGCUUUGGAAUGUCCAGCAGACACAGUCAAGACUGAACUCACUUCCUUCCUGCAGCCUGCUCCUCCGGCCUCUUCCAAGUCUCCACUGGUGAUACCACCUUCCGCUCCCUCACAGGGGGUCAUGGUGAAUGCCUCAGCUCCUUAACCCCCGUUAUGGAAGGCCUUUGGAAUUCACUCUCCUUUAAUGGGUCUCAUAUUCCCCCCUUUCUUUAUUUAUAUUGGUACUUCCUUAGUUUAAUUCAUCAAGAUCUUGGCCUUUGAAGGAGUUAUUUCCUUUCUGCACUGCCUUUCUUUUGUCUGCCCAGCAAAUCCCACCUGGUCCUCUCCUCCCCUAUCCGUGCUCAACGUCCCUUCCUGGGUGAAGCCUUCCUCACCCAACACAUAGCACUUGGGUUAUGGCCAGUUGAGUCUCCCAGCAGCAGGAGCCUUCAUGUCUCCAAUGGCCUCUGCUCCUAGCACGCCUGCUGGCACCCACAGGUGUUUAUGGAAUUGACUCAGUGUCUAGGAAAAUAUGCAUUUAUUUCAAAAAAUACGUAGUAAAAUAAAAAUUAGAUUCAAGAAAACAUCCCUAUAAAUUUUGGUCUGUGAUAGUGCCAUACACAGUAAUGUUAUCAGAACAUCUGUCAUUGGUCAAGGCUGAGGAGGAAGCUCUGUUUUGAUCAGCAUCUUGGACCACCAGUGAUGAAGACUUUCACUCACUGAAGUCCACAUUCUUUCUGCUGGGGGAAAAUCCAGGUAGCUACAGGCCUCUGUCUGGCAGGGGUGUGCAACGGUGAGUGGUGAGGCAGCAUCCUGACCCAGAGACCAGUUGGUUGCCCUGCACUCUGACAGGGAGGUGGGACCCUGGCCACAUGAAUCGCCUGCCAUGACCCCAGGCCCCCUUCACUGUAUCCCCUGCUGUGUGCUUCCUCUCUGCCUGCUCGCCUGUGCCAGCCCCACUUGGCUUGUGCUCCUGAGACCUCUUCUUCUCUCCUUCAUGCUUUCAACUUGCAGGAAGCUUCCUGCCCGCUCAGUGGUCACCGUAAGAUUGGUUCCCAGAGAGUCAGCCCUUUGGUGGCAAACAGAGGGGCUGGAGGAGGGGAGGGUCUGCUCCCUGCAUUCAGGGCUGCCUCUGCCUGGGACCCACGCUCCUGGGGUCCUGGACUUGCCCUUCACCUCUCCUCUCAUUCUCGCCCCUGGUGGCCCCUCAGCUGCUCCCUGGGUUUUACCCUUGGUACCUGAUAUAGUUCGGCUAUUUCCCCACCCAAAUCUCAUCUUGAAUUCCGACGUGUUGUAAGAGGGACCUGGUGGGAGGCAAUUGAAUUACGAGGGCAGGUCUUUCCCAUGCUGUUCUCUUGAUAGUGAAUAAGUCUCAUGAGAUCUUACAGUAUUGUAAGGGGGAAUUUCCUUGCCCAAUUUCUCCCUCUUUGCCUGCUGCCAUCCACGGAAGACGUGACUUGCUCCACCUUGCCUUCUGCCAUGAUUGUGAGGCUUCCCUUGCCACGUGGAACUGUAAGUCCAAUUAAAACUC
This 3746-nucleotide long non-coding RNA is filed under the name Homo sapiens (human). RNAcentral's name for it is "HSALNT0161906". Lineage: Eukaryota; Metazoa; Chordata; Mammalia; Primates; Hominidae. The record is from RNAcentral.